GUGGGGAAUAUUGCGCAAUGGGCGAAAGCCUGACGCAGCGACGCCGCGUGGGGGAUGAAGCUUUUCGGAGUGUAAACCCCUUUCGACCCGGACGAAAGCCCGCAAGGGCCUGACGGUACGGGUAUAAGAAGCCCCGGCUAACUACGUGCCAGCAGCCGCGGUAAAACGUAGGGGGCCAGCGUUGCUCGGAAUUACUGGGCGUAAAGGGUCUGUAGGCGGUGCGGCAAGUCGGAAGUGAAAUCUGAGGGCUCAACCCUUAGACUGCUCCCGAAACUGCCGUGCUAGAGUGCGAGAGAGGCGGGUGGAAUUGCAGGUGUAGCGGUGAAAUGCGUAGAUAUCUGCAGGAACAUCCGAGGCGAAAGCGGCCCGCUGGAUCGCAACUGACGCUGAGAGACGAAAGCUAGGGGAGCAAACAGGAUUAGAAACCCCAGUAGUCC
Molecule: ribosomal RNA, 437 nt
Filed under: uncultured bacterium
Lineage: Bacteria
Description: bacterial SSU rRNA
Rfam family: Bacterial small subunit ribosomal RNA
Source: RNAcentral